RNAcentral lists this ribosomal RNA (497 nucleotides) under uncultured bacterium. RNAcentral's name for it is "partial 16S ribosomal RNA". It matches the Rfam family "Bacterial small subunit ribosomal RNA", at positions 28 to 507 of the family's 1533-position model. The record is from RNAcentral.
GAUGAACGCUGGCGGCGUGCCUAAUACAUGCAAGUCGAGCGAACAGACGAGGAGCUUGCUCCUCUGACGUUAGCGGCGGACGGGUGAGUAACACGUGGAUAACCUACCUAUAAGACUGGGAUAACUUCGGGAAACCGGAGCUAAUACCGGAUAAUAUAUUGAACCGCAUGGUUCAAUAGUGAAAGACGGUUUUGCUGUCACUUAUAGAUGGAUCCGCGCCGCAUUAGCUAGUUGGUAAGGUAACGGCUUACCAAGGCGACGAUGCGUAGCCGACCUGAGAGGGUGAUCGGCCACACUGGAACUGAGACACGGUCCAGACUCCUACGGGAGGCAGCAGUAGGGAAUCUUCCGCAAUGGGCGAAAGCCUGACGGAGCAACGCCGCGUGAGUGAUGAAGGUCUUCGGAUCGUAAAACUCUGUUACUAGGGAAGAACAAAUGUGUAAGUAACUAUGCACGUCUUGACGGUACCUAAUCAGAAAGCCACGGCUAACUACGUG